This is a long non-coding RNA of Nicotiana attenuata, 854 nucleotides long. RefSeq lists it as uncharacterized. The transcript has 4 exons. NCBI's taxonomy places the organism in Eukaryota, Viridiplantae, Streptophyta, Magnoliopsida, Solanales, Solanaceae. The record is from RefSeq and is a predicted model, not a curated record.
UGGAUUUUCAACGUGUCUCCUAAAUCUAUAGCCACAACAUCACUGCUAUCAACGUGUUUUAUAGCGCUAACACAGCAACAUGCCUUCAAAGUUCAAACUUAGAGCAAAAAGCAGAGCUCCAUCAACCUACAUACCUUCCCUCUAUUCUCCAUCCUGCCGUGUGCUCCUGGUGCUUAAGUUCGUAGCCAGAAAUACUUGCCUGGGAUAAAGCUAAAUAGAAUUCUUGGUUUGGCGAGUGGAGCCACAUACUUCACUCUGCAAGAAUUUGAUUUAUGAAGUGGUGCAGUCUUGAAAUUAAAUGCGUCGCAUUCCCACCGAAGUAAUUUGAGAUAAUAGCAGGAUAUAAUUAUUCAAAGUUAUAGUACAGAGUAACUACCAAUAGAGAAGUUGCAAAAAAAAAAAGUUGGAACAACUUCUAUUGGAGAUGUUAUUAAGUGAAAUGACAUGAUCAAGGAGGUAUAAGCUGUGUCUUUUAGUACUGCAGGUGGGAUUUAAACUCCUUUAUGGUAGAAAAGGAACAACGGCAUUUUCAUAUGUAAAACAUCUCUUGAAUUUGCUGGUGUGGCUUAUCAGAGUGGAGGAUAUGGUAUUUUCAAUUAUCAUUUGAGUACAUUGUUGUUGUGCUCACAUGAAUGUAAAGAAUGUAUCAGUUGGCAACCAUACCACAUCCAUGAGUGUGUAUUUAUUCCGAAAUGCAUCUAGAUAACAUCGAGGAAUUAGUAGUUUUGUUGCUUAUAUCGGAUUUAGUUAGUGAUCAUGUACAUGCAUCUAUGUCUCUGUCAUUUUAGGCCCAUCGAUGUAAUGUUGUCUGUAACUUAGUAGUCACUUGUAUGCAUAUAUUUCUUUCGCUGCCA